AUUGAACGCUGGCGGCAUGCCUUACACAUGCAAGUCGAACGGCAGCACGGGAGCAAUCCUGGUGGCGAGUGGCGAACGGGUGAGUAAUAUAUCGGAACGUGCCCAGUCGUGGGGGAUAACGCAGCGAAAGCUGUGCUAAUACCGCAUACGAUCUAUGGAUGAAAGCGGGGGACCGCAAGGCCUCGCGCGAUUGGAGCGGCCGAUAUCAGAUUAGCUAGUUGGUGGGGUAAAGGCCCACCAAGGCGACGAUCUGUAGCUGGUCUGAGAGGACGACCAGCCACACUGGAACUGAGACACGGUCCAGACUCCUACGGGAGGCAGCAGUGGGGAAUUUUGGACAAUGGGCGCAAGCCUGAUCCAGCAAUGCCGCGUGCAGGAUGUAGGCCUUCGGGUUGUAAACUGCUUUUGUACGGAACGAAACGGUGAGCUUUAAUACAGUUUGCUAAUGACGGUACCGUAAGAAUAAGCACCGGCUAACUACGUGCCAGCAGCCGCGGUAA
RNAcentral lists this ribosomal RNA (500 nucleotides) under uncultured bacterium. RNAcentral describes it as "partial 16S ribosomal RNA". It matches the Rfam family "Bacterial small subunit ribosomal RNA", at positions 30 to 523 of the family's 1533-position model. The record is from RNAcentral.